RNAcentral lists this ribosomal RNA (493 nucleotides) under uncultured Massilia sp. RNAcentral's name for it is "partial 16S ribosomal RNA". Lineage: Bacteria; Pseudomonadati; Pseudomonadota; Betaproteobacteria; Burkholderiales; Oxalobacteraceae. The record is from RNAcentral.
CACGUAGUUAGCCGGUGCUUAUUCUUCAGGUACCGUCAUUAGCCGUGGAUAUUAGCCACAGCCGUUUCUUCCCUGACAAAAGAGCUUUACAACCCGAAGGCCUUCUUCACUCACGCGGCAUUGCUGGAUCAGGCUUGCGCCCAUUGUCCAAAAUUCCCCACUGCUGCCUCCCGUAGGAGUCUGGACCGUGUCUCAGUUCCAGUGUGGCUGGUCGUCCUCUCAGACCAGCUACUGAUCGUCGCCUUGGUGAGCCUUUACCUCACCAACUAGCUAAUCAGAUAUCGGCCGCUCCAGGAGCACAAGGUCCGAAGAUCCCCUGCUUUCAUCCGUAGAUCGUAUGCGGUAUUAGCGUAACUUUCGCUACGUUAUCCCCCACUCUUGGGUACGUUCCGAUAUAUUACUCACCCGUUCGCCACUCGCCGCCAGGUUGCCCCGCGCUGCCGUUCGACUUGCAUGUGUAAAGCAUGCCGCCAGCGUUCAAUCUGAGCCAGGA